RNAcentral lists this ribosomal RNA (442 nucleotides) under uncultured bacterium. Its description in RNAcentral is "partial 16S ribosomal RNA". It matches the Rfam family "Bacterial small subunit ribosomal RNA", at positions 338 to 795 of the family's 1533-position model. The record is from RNAcentral.
CCUACGGGAGGCUGCAGUGGGGAAUAUUGGGCAAUGGGCGCAAGCCUGACCCGGCAACGCCGCGUGAAGGAAGAAGGCUUUCGGGUUGUAAACUUCUUUUGUCAGGGAAGAGUAGAAGACGGUACCUGACGAAUAAGCCACGGCUAACUACGUGCCAGCAGCCGGGGUAAUACGUAGGGGGCAAGCGUUGUCCGGAUUUACUGGGUGAAAAGGGCGUGUAGCCGGGUUGACAAGUCAGAUGUGAAAUCCUGCGGCUUAACCGCAGAACUGCAUUUGAAACUGUUGAUCUUGAGUACUGGAGAGGCAGACGGAAUUCCUAGUGUAGCGGUGAAAUGCGUAGAUAUUAGGAGGAACACCAGUGGCGAAGGCGGUCUGCUGGACAGCAACUGACGGUGAGGCGCGAAAGCGUGGGGAGCAAACAGGAUUAGAUACCCCAGUAGUC